ACUUUUAAAGGAUGGCAGUUAUCCAUUGACCUUAGGAGUCAAAAACAUUGGUGCAACUCCAAAUAAAAGUA
Molecule: transfer RNA, 71 nt
Filed under: Colobus satanas satanas
Lineage: Eukaryota; Metazoa; Chordata; Mammalia; Primates; Cercopithecidae
Description: tRNA-Leu
Rfam family: tRNA
About the family: Transfer RNA (tRNA) molecules are approximately 80 nucleotides in length. Their secondary structure includes four short double-helical elements and three loops (D, anti-codon, and T loops).
Source: RNAcentral